UAAGAGCGAAUGGUGGAUGCCUUGACUGGUAAAGGCGAUGAAGGACGUACUAGACUGCGAUAAGCUACGGGGAGCUGUCAAGAAGCUUUGAUCCGUAGAUUUCCGAAUGGGGCAACCCAAUGUAUAGAGAUAUACAUUACCUAUAUAGGAGCGAACGAGGGGAAUUGAAACAUCUUAGUACCCUCAGGAAAAGAAAUCAAUAGAGAUUGCGUCAGUAGCGGCGAGCGAAAGCGUAAGAGGGCAAACCCAGUGCUUGCACUGGGGGUUGUAGGACUGCAAUGUGCAAGAGGUGAGUUUAGCAGAACAUUCUGGAAAGUAUAGCCAUAGAGGGUGAUAGUCCCGUAUGCGAAAAACAAACCUUAGCUAGCAGUAUCCUGAGUAGGGCGGGACACGAGAAAUCCUGUCUGAAGCUGGGUCGACCACGAUCCAACCCUAAAUACUAAUACCAGAUCGAUAGUGCACAAGUACCGUGAGGGAAAGGUGAAAAGAACUGAGGUGAUCAGAGUGAAAUAGAACCUGAAACCAUUUGCUUACAAUCAUUCAGAGCACUAUGUAGCAAUACAGUGUGAUGGACUGCCUUUUGCAUAAUGAGCCUGCGAGUUGUGGUGUCUGGCAAGGUUAAGCAAACGCGAAGCCGUAGCGAAAGCGAGUCUGAAUAGGGCGCUUAGUCAGAUGCUGCAGACCCGAAACGAAGUGAUCUAUCCAUGAGCAAGUUGAAGCUAGUGUAAGAACUAGUGGAGGACUGAACCCAUAGGCGUUGAAAAGCCCCGGGAUGACUUGUGGAUAGGGGUGAAAGGCCAAUCAAACUUCGUGAUAGCUGGUUCUCUCCGAAAUAUAUUUAGGUAUAGCGUUGUGUCGUAAUAUAAGGGGGUAGAGCACUGAAUGGGCUAGGGCAUACACCAAUGUACCAAACCCUAUCAAACUCCGAAUACCUUAUAUGUAAUCACAGCAGUCAGGCGGCGAGUGAUAAAAUCCGUCGUCAAGAGGGAAACAACCCAGACUACCAGCUAAGGUCCCUAAAUCUUACUUAAGUGGAAAACGAUGUGAAGUUACUUAAACAACCAGGAGGUUGGCUUAGAAGCAGCCAUCCUUUAAAGAAAGCGUAAUAGCUCACUGGUCUAGUGAUUUUGCGCGGAAAAUAUAACGGGGCUAAAGUAAGUACCGAAGCUGUAGACUUGCGCACAACUUAG
This 1190-nucleotide ribosomal RNA is filed under the name Campylobacter coli. RNAcentral's name for it is "partial 23S ribosomal RNA". It matches the Rfam family "Bacterial large subunit ribosomal RNA", at positions 12 to 1219 of the family's 2925-position model. The record is from RNAcentral. Lineage: Bacteria; Pseudomonadati; Campylobacterota; Epsilonproteobacteria; Campylobacterales; Campylobacteraceae.